GAUGAACGCNGGCGGCGUGCCUAAUACAUGCAAGUCGAGCGAACGGACGAGAAGCUUGCUUCUCUGAUGUUAGCGGCGGACGGGUGAGUAACACGUGGAUAACCUACCUAUAAGACUGGGAUAACUUCGGGAAACCGGAGCUAAUACCGGAUAAUAUUUUGAACCGCAUGGUUCAAAAGUGAAAGACGGUCUUGCUGCCACUUAUAGAUGGAUCCGCGCUGCAUUAGCUAGUUGGUAAGGUAACGGCUUACCAAGGCAACGAUGCAUAGCCGACCUGAGAGGGUGAUCGGCCACACUGGAACUGAGACACGGUCCAGACUCCUACGGGAGGCAGCAGUAGGGAAUCUUCCGCAAUGGGCGAAAGCCUGACGGAGCAACGCCGCGUGAGUGAUGAAGGUCUUCGGAUCGUAAAACUCUGUUAUUAGGGAAGAACAUAUGUGUAAGUAACUGUGCACAUCUUGACGGUACCUAAUCAGAAAGCCACGGCUAACUACGUGCCAGCAGCCGCGGUAAUACGUAGGUGGCAAGCGUUAUCCGGAAUUAUUGGGCGUAAAGCGCGCGUAGGCGGUUUUUUAAGUCUGAUGUGAAAGCCCACGGCUCAACCGUGGAGGGUCAUUGGAAACUGGAAAACUUGAGUGCAGAAGAGGAAAGUGGAAUUCCAUGUGUAGCGGUGAAAUGCGCAGAGAUAUGGAGGAACACCAGUGGCGAAGGCGACUUUCUGGUCUGUAACUGACGCUGAUGUGCGAAAGCGUGGGGAUCAAACAGG
This 766-nucleotide ribosomal RNA is filed under the name Staphylococcus aureus. RNAcentral's name for it is "bacterial SSU rRNA". It matches the Rfam family "Bacterial small subunit ribosomal RNA", at positions 28 to 776 of the family's 1533-position model. Lineage: Bacteria; Bacillati; Bacillota; Bacilli; Caryophanales; Staphylococcaceae. The record is from RNAcentral.